ACUGUAUCGAAGGGGUGAGAUGCCCCGUAGCUCGUAGUGAGU
Molecule: non-coding RNA, 42 nt
Filed under: Trypanosoma brucei brucei
Lineage: Eukaryota; Euglenozoa; Kinetoplastea; Trypanosomatida; Trypanosomatidae
Source: RNAcentral